This 253-nucleotide ribosomal RNA is filed under the name uncultured bacterium. Its description in RNAcentral is "partial 16S ribosomal RNA". It matches the Rfam family "Bacterial small subunit ribosomal RNA", at positions 524 to 776 of the family's 1533-position model. The record is from RNAcentral.
UACGUAGGGUCCAAGCGUUAAUCGGAAUUACUGGGCGUAAAGCGUGCGCAGGCGGUUCGUUAAGUCAGCUGUGAAAGCCCCGGGCUCAACCUGGGAAUGGCGGUUGAAACUGGCGAACUUGAAUCUGGCAGAGGGGGGUGGAAUUCCGCGUGUAGCAGUGAAAUGCGUAGAUAUGCGGAGGAACACCGGUGGCGAAGGCGGUUCUCUGGGCAUUACCUGACGCUGAGGAGCGAAAGUGUGGGGAGCGAACAGG